GAGCCACCGUGACUGGCUCUGUGGUGGGUGGGGGAUGAGAGCCAAGCUUGGGGUCUUGACCUACCGUCGUCUUGAUUAGUGAUGGCCUGCAGUAGGCGACACCACAGGACUGCAGUCCAUGUCCACUUACUGGCCGACCUGGGGGUUCAAGGAUCUGACCUGCUUGCCUCAGCUGGGGAGAGAACCAACGGAGGACACGUCCAGCUCCCGAGAUCUCUGCAGAUGGCUGAUGUCCCGGUGUGGUCGUGUUCCGAGCUGUCGUCUCCCGCUGCCCAAUCCCAGCUUCCUCCCCUUCCUCAAAGAUGUGUCUUCUGAGAACUCGCC
Molecule: long non-coding RNA, 324 nt
Filed under: Mustela putorius furo (domestic ferret)
Lineage: Eukaryota; Metazoa; Chordata; Mammalia; Carnivora; Mustelidae
Description: lncRNA (ENSMPUG00000025719.1)
Source: RNAcentral